This 237-nucleotide ribosomal RNA is filed under the name uncultured bacterium. RNAcentral's name for it is "partial small subunit ribosomal RNA". It matches the Rfam family "Bacterial small subunit ribosomal RNA", at positions 26 to 288 of the family's 1533-position model. The record is from RNAcentral.
AGAACGAACGCUGGCGGCAGGCCUCAAACAUGCAAGUCUAGGGGGGUGUAGCAAUACAUCACCGGCGGACGGGUGCGUAACACGUGGGAAUAUACCUUUUGGUUCGGAACAACGCAGGGAAACUUGCGCUAAUACCGAAUGUGCCCUUACGGGGAAAGAUUUAUCGCCAAAGGAUUAGCCCGCGUAGGAUUAGCUAGUUGGUGAGGUAAUGGCUCACCAAGGCGACGACGGGUAGCC